Molecule: long non-coding RNA, 1127 nt
Organism: Drosophila virilis
Lineage: Eukaryota; Metazoa; Arthropoda; Insecta; Diptera; Drosophilidae
Source: RefSeq, a predicted model, not a curated record
AGUAUGCCCACAAUAAGCAACAGCUCCGGUUUAUGUAUCGGCUCCUGCUCGAUGAACCUAUUGGAGAAAGUUGAAAAAGACUCUGAUGAACGUAAUGAGAACGCAUUGAACGUAAUGUUUACAUUUAAUAUCCAGUUCUAUUGAUAAGCGCGGGCGUGUGCCAUAUCUUGGAUUACCUUGUUAUUGACAGAACAACAUAAAGGAAAGUGAGAACAUUUGUUAAGCGAUUCCGGGUCUACUGCGCCCAGCUCCACAGCGCUAAUCAUAGCUAUUUGAAGGCAAAGAAGAAGAGCUGGCACGUUUAUACAAUCGUCAGGCGUAUAAAAACGCGCAUCGUAAAGUGGCAAGAAAUAUGCAUGCGGCAUGCAAAUGGAAACGCUGCGAAUAACAAAUGGCGAAUAUCGAAAAACGUAAAUUAAAAUAAAAGAUAACAAAAUAAACGACUGACUAACAACAACAACAACAGCAACAAUAAAUAAAAUAAACAAAAACAAAUUCAAGAAAAUGUGAGCACACGAAACGGUGACAAGGCGAAACGUUCGGAAUUGCGCGCUGGGUGUGCGAAGGCGUUGACCACGACAGCAGCUACACACACACACACACACACACACACACACACACUUAGAGAGAGACACACACAGGUACGUAAUGGCACAGGUGCCUCACCUUUUGCAAGCCUCAAUCGUGAUGCUGAAGCAGAGCGCGACCAGAAACACCGCAUUGACCAGAGCGCCCAGGACCUCGGCGCGCGCCCAGCCGAAUGUGUUCUUUGACCAUUUUUUGGGUGACAUCUGUUUUGGAUUGAGAAUAUGCAUUAGUUAUAGACACAAUCAAAGCAUAUAGCAAAAUAUAGUGCGCACCUUAACUGACAGAAAUGAUAUGACCAGGGCAGCUAUAUCGCCCAGCAUGUGAAAGCUGUCCGCGACGAGAGCCAUCGAAUUGGUCACAUAGCCGACUAUGAUUUCCACAAAGAAGAAGAACGCCGUCAGCCACAUCAUCGAGAGGAGGCGGCAUUUUUUGCCCGAAUAUUUGGACAUCUUGGAGAAACUGAAAGCAAGAAACGUACAUUCAAAUUUGCACAGGCAUUUUGGAAGACGCCGAAGAUAUUUCGGAGAUGAAAGCAAAUA